GAAAUAAGAUCCUACAAGCUUCGCGGCAUGGCCAAAAAAGAAAAAAAAACAAAAAUGAAAAACCACGGUGGAUCCCCAGAACCAAAUUAAUAAGAGUCUGAAUUUGCAAAGAAAAGGACAAUGUAAAAUUGUGCCUUCCUCUCUCAACCAGGCACCACAGAUAGAGACCUCGGAGAAGUGACUGGUAAAAAGUCUCACGCUUUGCCAGCUUCCGCUAGCUCUCCCAGGAUGCCGUCUGCAGGCUCUAGAGAAGAGGAAGAGGAAUUUUUCUUCUCCCCUUUAUAGUGAAUCCCUGGCUGACACUUCUCUUUUUCUAGGGCAUCUUGUAAAUGGAUAAACUUACCGAAGUUGAAAGUUCUCCACUAUGGCCUCUCUAAUUCAAGAUUAUCUUUGAUAAGUUUAACCUGCUAGUUCAGCCUUAAAACACAAUUUUUUUCACCUGAGGCCUCAUACCGGCUCGCUCCGGCUCAAGUCAGAUCCAGGCGUGAGCCUUUCUACGUCAGACCAAUCAGCUUCCAUCAGGUUUCCGGACCCAGGCCAGAAAAAGGAAGGCUCAGAUGGUCGGAAAGCUCAUGAGGCCAGAGCUGCGGGUCCAGGAUCCAGGACCGCGAGGACUUGCCCAGCACCUCCGGAGGCAGCGAGAAAACAGCCAGCUCCAGGAACUCAGCAGGGAAACUCAAGAUUGAUAGUAAAUGAAUGACAGCAGUUCAAGAAUCACUUCUUCCUGUGGUACCUUCCGGAGGACGAAGGUAAAAAUCACCCAGACACAGGGGUGAUUGAUGAGGUGUUCAGAGCCUCAGCAUCAGUGGCGACCACAGAGGAGUUGAGGACUUAAGAUCUUAUGGGAAAGAUAAGGUAUGAAGGUGAAACUGCCCAUUUUGUUCCCUGCUCUAUCUACAGUCGGACAUCAGAACAGUUCCUGGUUCCCAGUAAGCACUAAAUAGAUAAGAAAGGAGAAAGAGCAGAGGAGAGAAAAUUGAUGCCUGGAGCUAAGGCUGUAAGAAGGAGAUAAACAACAACAUCAAUUUAGAGAUGGGAAGUGGUAUGGACAGUGAAAGAGGAAGUGAGGAACAGGCCUGAACCUGAUUCACCACAACUUGGAAAACCUGGGGUAAGAGAUUGGAUAAAGUGAAAACUCAGCAGGUACACGAUGGAAAAUGAUUCUUGGGCACAAGGAAAUCUGAUUAGGCUGAAGAAAUAUUUCCUGGUGUUUGUCAGAUUACUUUAAAAUAAGAUGGACUAGUGAAGAAGAGUAUGGUUCACUCAGACAAGUGAAUUUCCCAUUUUUCCAUCAGCACUCACUGUACUUCACUUGACCUAACUUGAACCAAAAAAAACAACCAUUCAAGGUGUAGUGCUAGGAUAAUGCAUAUUCACUGCAAUUGUAAUUUAUCUGUCGCCUCAAUUAAAAUGUAAGUUCCUAGGGCUUCCCUGGUGGCACAGUGGUUGAGAGUCCACCUGCCGAUGCAGGGGACGUGGGUUCGUGCCCCGGUCCGGG
Molecule: long non-coding RNA, 1498 nt
Organism: Aethalodelphis obliquidens (Pacific white-sided dolphin)
Lineage: Eukaryota; Metazoa; Chordata; Mammalia; Artiodactyla; Delphinidae
Exons: 4
Source: RefSeq, a predicted model, not a curated record